Molecule: ribosomal RNA, 2111 nt
Filed under: Anaerolineae bacterium
Lineage: Bacteria; Bacillati; Chloroflexota; Anaerolineae
Description: partial 23S ribosomal RNA
Rfam family: Bacterial large subunit ribosomal RNA
Source: RNAcentral
AUGAUUAAGCUACUAAGGGCGUACGGUGGAUGCCUUGGCGUCAGGGGCCGAAGAAGGGCGUGGCAGGCUGCGAUAAGCCCCGGGGAGCCGUCAAGCGGGCUUUGAUCCGGGGAUUCCCGAAUGGGGAAACCCACCCAGGGGAAUGCCUGGGUACCCCCAGCUGAAUACAUAGGCUGGUGGGAGGGAACCGAGGGAACUGAAACAUCUUAGUACCUCGAGGAAAAGAGAUCAUUCCCUGAGUAGUGGCGAGCGAAAGGGGAACAGCCCAAACCUAUCUUGUGUCAAGGCUGUAGCCGUUGCAAGGUAGGGGUUGUAAGGCACGGCCGGGUCGCUACAGAGGCCCAGAGGAGUUACAAACCUGAUCUCUAGCGGAAGGAUACUGGAAAGGUCCACCAUAGAGAGUGAUAGUCUCGUACGCGAAAGGGAUCAGGCUCCUGCCGUUGACCUUGAGUACCACGGGGCACGCUAAUCCUGUGGGAAGCAGGGAAGUCCACUUCCCAAGGCUAAAUACUCUUGACGACCGAUAGUGAACAAGUACCGUGAGGGAAAGGUGAAAAGAACGCCGGUGAGGCGAGUGAAAUAGAACCUGAAACCGUAUGCCUACAAGCGGUGGGAGGGCUAUACCCCUUAGGGGGCAGGCCUGACCGCGUGCCUUUUGGAGAAUGAACCGGCGAGUUACUCUCUGUGGCGAGGUUAAGGGAGUCACACCCGGAGCCGUAGCGAAAGCGAGUCUGAAUAGGGCGCACUAGUCGCAGGGAGUAGACCCGAAACCAGGUGAGCUACCCAUGGCCAGGGUGAAGCGAUAGUAAUGCAUCGUGGAGGCCCGAACCCACCAGAGUUGCAAAUCUGGGGGAUGAGCUGUGGGUAGAGGUGAUAUGCCAAACGAACCUGGAGAUAGCUGGUUCUCCCCGAAAUAGCUUUAGGGCUAGCCUCAGGCGUUUAGUGGUGGAGGUAGAGCACUGAAUUGGCUAGGGGGCGUAAAGCUUACCAAACCAAACCAAACUCCGAAUGCCACCACUCUAGAGCCUGGGAGUCGGACAGUGGGGGAUAAGCUUCAUUGUCAAAAGGGAAAGAGCCCAGACCGUCAGCUAAGGUCCCUAAGUCCAGGCUAAGUGGGCAAGGAGGUGGAAUUACUGGGACAGCCAGGAGGUUGGCUUAGAAGCAGCCAUCCUUUAAAGAGUGCGUAAUAGCUCACUGGUCAAGUGAUUCUGCGCCGACAAUUUAACGGGGCUCAAGCCUGGCACCGAAGCUACGGGAGGUCGGAAGCUUGAGGACAUAACGGCUCAAGGAGAGUGGUUGAGCUUUGCUCCCAGCUUCUUGUGUCGGUUCUCAAAGCCUUCCGAUUUCGGUAGGGGAGCGUUCUGCUCAGCUGUGAAGCUGGACCGUGAGGACCAGUGGAGCGGGCAGAAGUGAGAAUGCCGGUAUGAGUAGCGAGAAACAUGUGAGAAACAUGUUCGCCGUAAACCUAAGGUUUCCGACGGAAGGUUAAUCCGCGUCGGGUUAGUCGGGCCUAAGCCGAGGGCGAAGGCCGUAGGCGAUGGACAACAGGUUAAUAUUCCUGUACCACCUGGGUGGAGCGAUGGGGGGACGCGGAGGGGUAGGCCAGCCUGUUAUUGGAUUCAGGUGCCAAGCUCGUAGGAGGCCGGACCAGGAAAAUCCGGACCGGCGUUAACUCUGAGGAGUGGGCGGUGCCGUAAGGCCAGAAGUGACCGAGCCCAGCCGCCAAGAAAAGCCUCUAAGUGAUGAAACCCUGGUGACCGUACCGCAAACCGACACAGGUAGGUGGGUAGAGUAUACCAAGGCGAUCGGGAGAACCCUCGUUAAGGAACUCGGCAAUUUUGCUCCGUAACUUCGGGAGAAGGAGCGCCCUUUUGGGUGAAGCGACUAGCUCGCGGAGCCCAGGGGGGCCGCAGUGAAAUGGCCCUGGCGACUGUUUAACAAAAACACAGGUCUCUGCAAACUCGCAAGAGGAUGUAUAGGGGCUGACGCCUGCCCAGUGCCGGAAGGUUAAAGGGAAGGGUUAUGCUGGCUUCGGCCAGCGGCAGCUCUGAACUGAAGCCCCGGUGAACGGCGGCCGUAACUAUAACGGUCCUAAGGUAGCGAAAUUCCUU